RNAcentral lists this long non-coding RNA (294 nucleotides) under Phoenix dactylifera (date palm). Its description in RNAcentral is "long non-coding RNA (PDAC_LNC003276)". Lineage: Eukaryota; Viridiplantae; Streptophyta; Magnoliopsida; Arecales; Arecaceae. The record is from RNAcentral.
GCAGCCCAAUCUCUAGCAAAGGAUGAGCAAGGAGAGGAGCCACACUUACCUCGGUCCGACGAAGUGCUCCGGCGACCCUUCCGGCGAGGACUCGGUGGAGAAAGUCCGCGAGCAGCUCGGAUUAAUGCGCACGGCUCCAAGGUCUCUUCACCCGUGGGGAUCUUCACCGAAGGAAAGUGGUCUUCCUCCGCGGCCGGCCGGACCUCGGCGCCCAUCUCCUCUCCGACGAUCCCCUCCAACGCCGCCCCCCCCCUCCUCUCCCAUUCUCCUCUCUUCAUCCACGAUCGUGCCUAG